Molecule: ribosomal RNA, 460 nt
Filed under: uncultured bacterium
Lineage: Bacteria
Description: partial 16S ribosomal RNA
Rfam family: Bacterial small subunit ribosomal RNA
Source: RNAcentral
CCUACGGGUGGCAGCAGUGAGGAAUAUUGGGCAAUGGGCGCAAGCCUGAACCAGCCAAGCAGCGUGAAUGAUGACUGCCCUCCGGUUGGUAAACUUCGUUUAUAAAGGAAUAAAGUGAGGCACGUGUGCCUGAUUGUAUGGACUGUACGAAUAAGGAUAGGCUAACUCCGUGCCAGCAGCCGCGGUAAUGCGGAGGUUCCGUGCGUUAGCCGGAGUUAUUGGGUUUAAAGGGAGCGUAGAUGGGUUGUUAAGUUAGUUGUGAAAGUUUGCGGCUCAACCGUAAAAGUGCAAUUGAUACUGGAAAUCUUGAGUGCAGUUGAGGUAGGUGGAAUUCGUGGUGUAGCGGUGAAAUGCGUAGAUAUAAGGAAGAACUCCGAUGGCGAAGGCAGCUUACUAAUCUGUAACUGACGUUGAUGCUCGAAAGCGUGGGUAUCAAACAGGAUUAGAUACCCCAGUAGUC